This 387-nucleotide ribosomal RNA is filed under the name uncultured bacterium. RNAcentral describes it as "bacterial SSU rRNA". It matches the Rfam family "Bacterial small subunit ribosomal RNA", at positions 28 to 417 of the family's 1533-position model. The record is from RNAcentral.
GACGAACGCUGGCGGCGUGCUUAACACAUGCAAGUCGAGCGGUAAGGCCCUUUCGGGGGUACACGAGCGGCGAACGGGUGAGUAACACGUGGGUGACCUGCCCUCAGCUCUGGGAUAAGCCUGGGAAACCGGGUCUAAUACCGGAUAUGACUCCAUGACGCAUGUUGUGGGGUGGAAAGCCUUGUGCGGCUGGGGAUGGGCCCGCGGCCUAUCAGCUUGUUGGUGGGGUGAUGGCCACCAAGGCGACGACGGGUAGCCGGCCUGAGAGGGCGACCGGCCACACUGGGACUGAGACACGGCCCAGACUCCUACGGGAGGCAGCAGUGGGGAAUCUUGCGCAAUGGGCGAAAGCCUGACGCAGCGACGCCGCGUGAGGGAUGACGGCCU